This 394-nucleotide unclassified non-coding RNA is filed under the name soil metagenome. Its description in RNAcentral is "partial contains 5.8S ribosomal RNA, internal transcribed spacer 2, and large subunit ribosomal RNA". The stretch from base 1 to 120 matches the Rfam family "5.8S ribosomal RNA", at positions 35 to 154 of the family's 154-position model. The record is from RNAcentral.
GAUGAAGAACGUAGUGAAAUGCGAUAAGUAAUGUGAAUUGCAGAAUUCAGUGAAUCAUCAAAUCUUUGAACGCAUCUUGCGCUCCUUGGUAUUCCGAGGAGCAUGCCUGUUUGAGUGUCAUUCAACUUGUCAACCACUUUGGAAGUUGUUUUUCAAUGUGGCUUGGAUGUGGGGGAUUUGCAGGCUUUUCUUCUGUCUGCUCUCCUGAAAUGCAUUAGUGGUGUCUUAAAGGGUUCACAACCACAGGUGUGAUAAAUUAUCUAUGCCUUUGGUAUGAACAGAACUGUGCUGCUUCUAAAUGAAAUGAGCCCUUGCAGGCUCUUUCUUUUGAUGAAUUUGACCUCAAAUCAGGUAGGACUACCCGCUGAACUUAAGCAUAUCAAUAAGCGGAGGA